CAACAGUAUCUCAGAGAGGUAAAUCAGCCUGCUUAAGAUCACCAGCAUGUAAGUUAUAGAGUUGGGAUCCCAAACUCGAUCCCUAGGAUCCUUCUCUAUGGUAUUUUUUGCUAGAUUAGGGCACCCUAGAGAUUUGAAGAGACUCAUCAGAGCCUGAAUGGUUGGGUCACAGCUGUUCCAACUUCUUCCCCACAGUCUUGCCACCUGGUGCCACCUGGCCCUAUGGUUCAUUGCCAGGUGGAAAGGCCACCUCAUUCCAUAACAAUCAGAGCUUGGAAUGAAAGCAAUGAAGUAGACAGCUGUCCUUUCCUGUGAUCUGUUUUCAUUGCAUUUGCAGCUGAGAUAUUCAGAUGUUCCUUCCAAGUGAUAAUUUUCUGUUUGUUUACCCUGGAAAUUUGAUGCCUAAGCUAGGUUGUGCCUGGCAAGAAGAGAAUUCAGCAGGGUAGUUGGUGACAUCUGAGACUGGGAGGAAAAAUUGGCACCAAGAGGUGCAUUCACAGCCAGCAAUGAGCAGCAGGGAAGAAAUUCUGAUUUGGUGAAGGUAGAGUAUGUGCAGACAAAUAGUUGGAAGAGUCAGUCAAUGGAGGAACUCUCCCUGGAAUUAUGCCUAAGAGCAGUGGCCGAUAGAAUAUCACCAUCGCGGCAACACUAACAGAGUGUUGGUCCCCCCACCACCUCCUGCUACAUGGGACCUCAUCGUCAGCCACACCCAGUUCUGCCGACACCCAUCCUCACCUCCUCCUGGAAGUCUGGGUCAGCACCGCCACAUCGGUCUCCACUCCUGGCCCCUUCCUCUACGUGCCGUCUCCCUAUCUAGCAAAAGAAAUGGACGCUUCAGGCCAAACCCAGAUGUUUCAGACUAGUUCCCUUCUAAUCUUCUGUGGAAAAGCCAUGCCUGCAAAGAACAUAGGCUUAGUGGUGAACUGUCAGGGCAUGUGGGCCAAGCCUCUCAGGCGUGUCCGACUCUGAGUGACCCCAUGGACUGUGGCCCACCAGGCUCCCCUGUCCAUGGGAUUCUCCAGGCAAGAACACGAGUGGGUUGCCAUGCCCUCCUCCAGGGGAUCUUCUGGACCCAGGGAUCAAACCUGCCUCUCUUCCAAAUUGUCACUCACCAGGCAAAAGCAGAGAGGUGGAUUCUUUACCCACUGAGCCGCCAGAGAAGCUAUCUGUUUAGAGGGAGGCACAGAGAUCCUGUCUGCUUCAUGUGGACGACUGCUUUACGUCUCUGAACGUUGCUGUGUAAGCGGCAGCUGCUGCAGCUAUCUUGUGACCAUGCGGUACAGGCCAACAGAAUCAGAAGCCAGUCUUCUCAGAGACCUUAUAUCAUUGGCUUCCUGAAUCAGUACUUAGCAAGCAUUCAUUUUUAAACUUAUCCUCAGUGAGUCCUGUUACUUGUGGAAGAAAACAUUUCCAAUCAGAUGAGGGACUGAGGGGUAUAAAGUGGUUUGCAUAAAGGGCUUGAGGGUUAAAAAUACAUGAACAUAUUUCAGGAUGUAAAAGAACUUUCAGAGGAGUGAGAAUGAUUACAGACAGUUGAGGUGGUGUGAUAAGAAAAGAGAGGGACCAUAGCUUGUCCAGCUUUUAUUCUCCUUAAUUGAAAAAAAAAUAAAAAUGCUUAAGGAGGAACAAUUUUCUGUUGGGUUCUAUUCUGAGCACUGGGGAUAAAGCCCAAAUAAAACAGAUAGUAAUCCUUCCACCCAUGGAGUUAGCAUUCUAGGGGGGUGAAGAAGUGCUGGGCAUGGUGCAGUUUUAAGUAAAGUGGUCAAGGAAGCUCUCGUUGAAAGGGGACCACUGCACAAAAGACCUAAAGGAGAUGGAAGAGCAGGUGAGGUGAAUAUCCAGCAGAAAAACAAUCCAGGGAGAGGGAUCAGGAACGGCAAAGCAGAAGAGAGGCUGUCCCUGGAACUUUCAAGGAAGGAGGAAAAGCAUGAGCUGGAGAGGAAGAAGUCCUAGGAAAUAAAUGCAGAGAAGUGCUGGGGAGGGGCGUGGUGUGUAGGACCCUGUAAAUCAUUGAAAGGUUUCAGAUUUUCUUUCAAAUGAGCCACAAAUGCAUGGGGUGGUGAGGGGGGUUUGAUCAAGAAGCAUCAUAGGUGUUACAUCUCACAGAAUGACACCUGUUAAGUUCAAAGCAGAUAGAGGGGAACGAGGACAGUAGAACAGAAACCAGUUGGGGAGGUUUCUUUAAUAAUGCACAUAGAUGGUGUAAGUGGUUUGGACAAGGCUGAGCUUGGUAUUAUAAAUGUGGUGUGAGAGUUUGGGAUUUCCAUCUUUUCUGAUGACUGAAUGCCACAGUUUGAUGAUGGACUGAAUAUGAGCUAUAAGAGAAAAAGAAGAGUCAAGACUAAUCCCAAGGGAUGUAUACCCAACAACUGCAAAGAUCGAUUUGUGAUUUAUAAAGUUGGGAAUUAUUGUGGAGAAAUCAGAAUUUGGUUUGGGAUUUGUCCAUCAACAUGUCGUUUAGGUGUGUAAGUGGAGAUGCCAAACGUGAAUGGACGUAUGAAUCUGAAAUUUAGGAAAGAGUCUUGUGUUGGAUAUAGAAGUGAGAGCAAUCUUCCAAGUAAAGAUAUAUUUAAAGCCACAGGACUGGAAUCACCAGGAGGGUGAGAGGGGAAUAUCAGGACUUCAAAGACUGACAGUUGACAUAUUUCAGUGAUAAGAGACACCAGAGAUGAACAGAAACAAGCAAAAGAGACUGAGAAAGGGCACUCUGAAAGAAAAGGCAGGAGUUAUGGUAACCUGGAAGCCAAGUGAAGAAAGUGCUGAGCAUGAGCAGUGAGUCGACAUCAUACCUUGAGUUAGUUAGGGCUGAGUCUAGAUCUCCAAUCACCAAUUCUAACUCUAAGCACAGGGGAGAUGUUGGAGUGGAGUCACCAACCUCAACUUGCUUCAGUCACAGAUUUAACAAAUCACUACAGUAUUUUCUGUCAGGGACAGAAUGUAGAAAGGGUUAGAACUGAAGUCCACAUUCUGAAUGUAAGAGAAAAAAGAACACUGUCAGGAUUAGUGGAUGUUUACAUCAUAGUACUUUUUCCUUUAUUUUAAGAUUAAAUAUUUAUUCUACCAAAAAGACAGAGAUAGCUUUUCCACCCAGUUGAUGAGCCAAGACUGCUCAGGAAGCAUACCAGCAGGAUAAGAAGGCCCUGGAGAGUCUUUAUCAUAUAGACAUGCGUGUCAAGUAAUGUGAGAAAUUCCUAAGAUAGAAAAGGAAAGAAAAAAAAAAAAAAACUAGUCUCAGCUUUGUUCAUCAUUAAUGAACAAGAAGGAAAAGAGAAAGCCAUCUCUCUCUCCAGCAGAGAGAAAUGAUGGAACAAGGAGCUCUUAUCAUACCACUCUCCAUGCUUCAUAAAAUAGGAGUAACUUUGGCAGCCAGUCAAAGCGAGAGAGGAAAUAUGCAAAGCACACACGUACGCUUCUGCACAUGCUGGGUGAGAAAGGAGAAACUAGAGCUUCAAGUUUGAUUUGCUGAGAAUGGAAACUAAAUUAUUGUAUGCACACACACACGUGUGUGUGUGUGUGUGUGUGUGUGUGUGUGUGUGUGUGUGUGUAAAUAAAUUCUGGACCUUGUAGCAAGAGUCAAACAUUCUCUAUACUGACUGCCUUAGUUUGUGAUUUCAUGUACUCCUCUUGGCUUCUAAAAAAUUAAAUUAUCUUUUAUCAACCUCCUUUGUAUCCAAUAGCUGGGAAUUUUGGCACUAAGAGCAUUCAAAACACGACUAUACUGAACUUUCCCUUAAUUUAAAAAAGUCCUUUCAUUUUCCUAGAGAGGUCAAUUAUGUUAAUAUUAAACAGAUCAAGAUCUCUUACUAUUUUCAAAUAUUCCAAAGCACAUUAAAAAUAUCUAGUUAUACAUAAUGGGUGACAGAAUAGUUAUGUAUGUUUACAAUAAAUUUAAAAAAUGGGUAAGUUCCCUAAGAACUUCUAUCCUAUCACACUUGACUAGGGCUAUAUAAACUGCAACCACAAAGGGUUAUACCUGGAAGUGGCUAUGGCGAUAAAAUUGAACUUUGUUACACCUAACAAAAAUACAAUAAUUUUCUUUAUUAAAAGUGCUCUAUGUAUACUGUCUCCUGUUGUUGUAAUAGCUGCUGCUGCUGCUAAGUCGCUUCAGUCAUGUCGGACUAUUUACAACCCCAUAGAUGGCAGCCCACAAGGAAUAAUACUGUCAAAGACUGAUGGGAUUUUUACAAAUUCUUUGUAAGUUAAAGAGAUUUGGCUCAAGUUGUGAAUUUGUAUUAUGUGUGGAAAGAAUAUGUUUCUGAUAUGAUCUGCAUUUCUACCGAGGUUAAGGUCAAAUCUCAAAAAAACACCAAGUGUACAGAAAAACCUUAGAGAACAUAUAACCCAAACCUUUCAUUUGACUUAGGUGACAAACUACAGUUCUGAGAGGAUAAGUGGCUUGCCUAAAGUCUUACAGGAAAUUAGAAAAAAUCUAUAAUUAUAUUUCACUUAUUAAUAAGGGCAUAACUCAAAGAUAUUCCAAUAAUUUUUUUUUAAAAA
Long non-coding RNA from Capra hircus (goat), 4497 nucleotides. Lineage: Eukaryota; Metazoa; Chordata; Mammalia; Artiodactyla; Bovidae. The record is from Ensembl.